GGGCGUUUGGUCUAGUGGUAUGAUUCUCGUCUUAAGGUGCGAGAGGUCGCGAGUUCGAUUCUUGCAAUGCCCU
Molecule: non-coding RNA, 73 nt
Organism: Thalictrum thalictroides
Lineage: Eukaryota; Viridiplantae; Streptophyta; Magnoliopsida; Ranunculales; Ranunculaceae
Source: the annotation of a GenBank genome assembly